GAUGAACGCUAGCGGCAGGCCUAACACAUGCAAGUCGAGGGGCAGCACAGAAAUUCAGCAAUGAGUUUUGGUGGCGACCGGCAGACGGGUGCGCAACGCGUGUGCAACCUACCCCUAACAGGGGAAUAACGGAGGGAAACUUCCACUAAUACCCCAUAAUAUAUGGAUCGGCAUCGGUUCAUGUUGAAAUUUUCGGACGUGACGGAUGGGCAUGCGUAGCAUUGGCUUGUUGGUGAGGUAACGGCUCACCAAGGCGACGAUGCUUAGGGGGACUGAGAGGUUUUCCCCCCACACUGGUACUGAGACACGGACCAGACUCCUACGGGAGGCAGCAGUGAGGAAUAUUGGUCAAUGGGCGCAAGCCUGAACCAGCCAUGCCGCGUGCAGGAUGACGGCUCUAUGAGUUGUAAACUGCUUUUGUACGAGGGUAAAGUGGGUUACGUGUAACCUUUUGAAAGUAUCGUACGAAUAAGGAUCGGCUAACUCCGUGCCAGCCGCCGCCGUAA
This 506-nucleotide ribosomal RNA is filed under the name uncultured bacterium. RNAcentral's name for it is "partial 16S ribosomal RNA". It matches the Rfam family "Bacterial small subunit ribosomal RNA", at positions 28 to 523 of the family's 1533-position model. The record is from RNAcentral.